RNAcentral lists this ribosomal RNA (510 nucleotides) under uncultured bacterium. Its description in RNAcentral is "partial 16S ribosomal RNA". It matches the Rfam family "Bacterial small subunit ribosomal RNA", at positions 28 to 507 of the family's 1533-position model. The record is from RNAcentral.
GACGAACGCUGGCGGCGUGCUUAACACAUGCAAGUCGAACGAAGAGCGACGGAAGCUUGCUUCUAUCAAUCUUAGGGGCGAACGGGUGAGUAACGCGUAAUCAACCUGCCCUUCAGAGGGGGACAACAGUAGGAAACGACUGCUAAUACCGCAUACGAUCUAACCUCGGCAUCGAGGAUAGAUGAAAGGUGGCCUCUACAUGUAAGCUAGCACUGAAGGAGGGGAUUGCGUCUGAUGAGCUAGUUGGAGGGGAAACGUCCCACCAAGGCGAGGGUCAGUCGCCGCUCUGCGAUGACGGACGGCCACAUUGGGAGUGUGACACGGCCCAGUCGCCUACGGGAGGCGGCAGUGGGGAUUCGUCCGCAAUGGACGGAAGUCUGACGGAGCAACGCCGCGUGAGUGUUGACGGCCUUCGGGUUGUAAAGCUCUGUCAAUCGGGAGGAAAGGGCUUCUUGCGAAUAGUGAGCGUGAUUGACGGUACCGGAAUAGAAAGCCACGGCUAACUACGUG